Molecule: long non-coding RNA, 1255 nt
Organism: Marmota monax (woodchuck)
Lineage: Eukaryota; Metazoa; Chordata; Mammalia; Rodentia; Sciuridae
Exons: 2
Source: RefSeq, a predicted model, not a curated record
GGGUUGGGGGGGGGGGGCGAGCGAGUGAGGUCUCUUCUGCCCAAUGAAUAUGACUACACGGGGACACGGGGACACCGGUCCCGUUGGCUAGGACCGCGCCGCAGCGGACGUAAUAGCCUUAGCCCCAAGCUGCGGUUCCUGUUUUGCGCCUUGGCCAUGCCGAACUCCAGCCUCACCGCCCCGCCUUGCCAGCUGGCUGGCAGACGGGAAAGCCAGGGCUGAGCUAGGCCGGGGAAGCCGGUGGAGGUGUCGGAUUUCCUGUCCCCUCCCCAUGCGGGCCACCCACGCCAUCUGCCCGAGAGAGGGGAGACACUCGUCCGCCCGCAGGCCGGCAGAGCUGGCUUACCUGAUUUCUCGUCGCCCGCCCCCAGAUCUGGCUUCCCCUACUCGGCACCGCCGGUAAAUUACUCAACAAAGAAAUAUAAUCUGGUGCCAGUCCUGGAUUUUCUUCCCACUAAUUCUCCCAGAAAAGUUCAGUGCUUGGAAAAUGGAGACUAUCUCUUAUACCACUUUUUACUAUGGUGCCUAUCAUAGUUCCUAUAGUAGAUGUUUUAAGUGUUUACUGAUUGAAAUGAAUGCUUAUGUGAAUUAUUGGUUCCAGGCCCUCCUGUGUCUGCUUUCCCCCAAGUCCUCAUCACCUUGCUAGCUACAAAGCCCACAGGGAUCUUUUCAUCAAUAACCCAUGGCCAUCUGUCAGACCUCCAUCUGACUUGGAUAUGGGAGAAGGUAGAGUAAAAAGCAUUGGACAUGAUUUUACUUGCCAAAGUAAGGGCCUGAAGAAACAACAGAAAGCAGAAGGAGGGUAAACAUCCAGUGGGAAUCCAGAAGACUACAGAAGAAAAAAGAUUUGUAUAGAGAACUGGUAAAGGAGAAGAGUCAAGGUUGUUAAUCUGAUCAGCCUGCAACUGAGAUUGAAAUUCUUUUCCAAAAUUACACAUCUCUGCUGUGCAUUUCCCGGCUCUCCAUAUACACAUCUCAUCUCAAUUAUUGCCUUGAAUAAAAUAAAUUAAAUAAGAAAUUGUUAUAUAGGAGAUAAUUUCAUUUACUGGAUAAAAACAUUGCUGGCUAGUAAUUAUCCUGAGCAUAAUUUGUUUAGAGCAUAUAGAAAUGUUAAUGUUUUAGAAAUGAAAUACUAGAUAAUUUUAAAUUGUGUAGAUUUAUAAUUCUGCUUUAAGAUCCCACAGAAACUUAUAAAAAUAGUAUUCUCUAUUUACUCCAUCAAAGUUUUCUAAUUGGAAUAAAACAUAAAAACACA